AGAGGAAGUAAAAGUCGUAACAAGGUUUCCGUAGGUGAACCUGCGGAAGGAUCAUUAUUGAAUGAAAAAAAAGGUCCAAGGUUGUUGCUGGCUGUCUCAGAUAGAUUUAAUCAUUAUAUUAUAUCUAUCUGUUGGCAUGUGCACAUCUUGCUCUUAAUUUCUUUCCUUCACACCUGUGCACCCGUUGUAGGUCCCUCGAAAAGAGAGAUCUAUGUCUUCAUUCAAUCUCGCCGCGCGCAUCGCAUGUUUGAUAAGAAUUGUCAUAAAAUGAAUCACAACUUUCAGCAACGGAUCUCUUGGCUCUCGCAUCGAUGAAGAACGCAGCGAAUUGCGAUAAGUAAUGUGAAUUGCAGAUUUUCAGUGAAUCAUCGAACCUUUGAACGCACCUUGCGCUCCUUGGUAUUCCGAGGAGCAUGCCUGUUUGAGUGUCAUUGAAUUCUCUCAACCAUGUCUUCAUUUUUGCGAGAUAUGGCUUGGAUUUGAGAGUUGCUGGCAUUUUUAUUGUCGGCUCUCCUGAAAUUUAUUAGCGAUGGUAUACAUAGAUACCUUCCGACGUCGUAAUGAUCGUUGGUGGGCCUUGCAUCAGUUCGCUUCCUAAUCAUGCUUACAAACUCUGUUUUGUAUCAUUUCGAACGUUCGACCUCAAAUCAGGUAGGACUACCCGCUGAACUUAAGCAUAUCAAUA
This 685-nucleotide ribosomal RNA is filed under the name uncultured fungus. RNAcentral describes it as "eukaryotic LSU rRNA". The stretch from base 277 to 431 matches the Rfam family "5.8S ribosomal RNA". The record is from RNAcentral. Lineage: Eukaryota; Fungi.